UACGGGGGGGGCAAGCGUUGUUCAGAAUUACUGGGCGUAAAGGGCUCGUAGGCGGCCAACUAAGUCAGACGUGAAAUCCCUCGGCUUAACCGGGGAACUGCGUCUGAUACUGGAUGGCUUGAGUUCGGGAGAGGGAUGUGGAAUUCCAGGUGUAGCGGUGAAAUGCGUAGAUAUCUGGAGGAACACCGGUGGCGAAGGCGGCAUCCUGGACCGACACUGACGCUGAUGAGCGAAAGCCAGGGGAGCAAACGGG
Molecule: ribosomal RNA, 253 nt
Filed under: uncultured bacterium
Lineage: Bacteria
Description: partial 16S ribosomal RNA
Rfam family: Bacterial small subunit ribosomal RNA
Source: RNAcentral